RNAcentral lists this ribosomal RNA (557 nucleotides) under Saccharomycodes ludwigii. Its description in RNAcentral is "LSU rRNA". It matches the Rfam family "Eukaryotic large subunit ribosomal RNA", at positions 56 to 625 of the family's 3401-position model. The record is from RNAcentral. Lineage: Eukaryota; Fungi; Ascomycota; Saccharomycetes; Saccharomycodales; Saccharomycodaceae.
UACAGACUACCGGGAUGCCUAGUAACGGCGAGUGAAGCGGCAAAAGCUCAAAUUUGAAAUCUGGCAUCUUUGAUGUCCGAGUUGUAAUUUGAAGAGGUUACUUUGGAGGCUGGCUCUUGUCUAUGUUCCUUGGAACAGGACGUCAUGGAGGGUGAGAAUCCCGUCUGGCGAGAGUUUCAGUUUUCAUGUAAAGUAGCAUUCGACGAGUCGAGUUGUUUGGGAAUGCAGCUCUAAGUGGGUGGUAAAUUCCAUCUAAAGCUAAAUAUUGGCGAGAGACCGAUAGCGAACAAGUACAGUGAUGGAAAGAUGAAAAGAACUUUGAAAAGAGAGUGAAAAAGUACGUGAAAUUGUUGAAAGGGAAGGGCAUUUGAUCAGACAUGGUGUUUCGUGCUUCUUGCUCCUUGUGGGCGGGGAGACUCACACGGUUCACUGGGCCAACAUCAGUUUUGGCAGCAGGAUAAAACUUUGGGAACGUAGCUUUCUUCGGGAAGUGUUAUAGCCCUUGGCAAUACUGCUAGCCGGGAUUGAGGACUGCGCAUUUAUGCAAGGAUGUGCUG